CCUUUUUAUAUUAGUUACAAAUUUUAUUAAGUCUGAUAAAGUUUUUUCGUAGGUGAGACCUUUCAACAGAGGCACCACACAGGCGUCAAAAGGCAUCAUUAUGGAGUAUAGGGGGUGGCGUCAAAAGGUGUCAGUAUGGAGGAAAGGGUUAAAUCAUUGGAUGCAGUGAAUGUCUAAAUUUUCAAGUUUUUAUAUACCGGUAAUAACUACAACAAGAUGAAAUAGAAAUAAAAUAUUCUUAUAAUUUAUUUCAGUUACUCCAUAUAAAAUAGUCACCAAAAUAAAUACCUCUUUCCUGCAGGAUACUGCAAAUAAAUGUUCAGGAAUAUGCAAUUAUUUGAAAUAAUCCAUUUAUUCCUACAGGAAACUGGAAAUUAUACCUAUUAUGGUCCAAUAUCCAAAAUCUAAAUACAUGGUUAGAUUCAGAAUAUCAUAGAACCCCAAGAAUUCAAUUUUUGAUGAAAUCAAAUAAUGUUCAAUUUUACCCUUUAGAACUCAAUGUGGACCAAUUUGAU
This 515-nucleotide long non-coding RNA is filed under the name Mytilus galloprovincialis (Mediterranean mussel). The record is from RNAcentral. Lineage: Eukaryota; Metazoa; Mollusca; Bivalvia; Mytilida; Mytilidae.